CUAAAUAAUGUAGGCUAGUUUAUGUCCAUGUAUUAUAUUAGGACCCAAGGUUAAUGGGUUAUUCUAUUUGCCAUGUUUUCACAGGCUGCUGUCUCAUAAUAUGGCGAAGACGAGUCACCUGAAGGCCUAACUCGCCAUAGAAGACUGAAAGAAUUGUCCUGCAGGAUGCUGUGUCCUGCAAUCCUGUGUGCUGUGCUACAGACGCGUGUGGAGGUCAACCCAAAAUGGGCACAGUCUCACCACAGAAGAGUGAAAGAGGAUCCUGGCAGGGAGACGGUAGUGUCCUGCAGAAUGGUGAUGGGCCAAUCUUACAAGAGACCACAGAAAACUGAUAUAGUGAACUAUAGAAACAACAGAGUGCCUGCUGCAGUAUGACGAGGACACCCUGAGCAGAGAGCUCCAAUAGACCCAGGUCCAGUGUCUUGGCAGGGUGAAAUGGCACUGAUAUGGUGUCCUGCAGGAUGCUGUGUCCUGCAAUCCUGUGUGCUGUGCUACAGACGCGUCUGGAAGCCAACCUGAAAUAAGCACAGUCUCUCCACAGAGGAGUGAAAGAGGCUCCCAGAAGUGAGACUGAGUGCCUGUUGCAGUAUGACGAGGACACAGUGACCAGAGACCUUCAGUAGACCCUUCUGGCAUGAUUGGCGGCUGAAGAACAUGAAAUCAACAGCAAUGUUUAUAAUGUUGUACAUACCUGUAUAGUCUGUAUUAAAAGGCAGUACCUGUA
Engraulis encrasicolus (European anchovy) is the source of this 724-nucleotide long non-coding RNA. RefSeq lists it as uncharacterized. The record is from RefSeq and is a predicted model, not a curated record. Lineage: Eukaryota; Metazoa; Chordata; Actinopteri; Clupeiformes; Engraulidae. The transcript has 6 exons.